UGAGAAGCUUCGACUAAGGUUCGACUUGAGCGCCAGCGAGAGAGCGUUGCCGCAGGCAACGACCCGAAGGGCGAAGCGCGCAGCGCUGAGUAAUCCUUCCCCCACCACCA
This 110-nucleotide small RNA is filed under the name Escherichia coli. RNAcentral describes it as "partial RtT sRNA". It matches the Rfam family "RtT RNA", at positions 23 to 130 of the family's 130-position model. Rfam says of the family: This family represents a bacterial cis-regulatory element known as RtT RNA. The exact function of RtT is unknown although it is thought that it may be involved in changing the cellular response in relation to amino acid starvation. The record is from RNAcentral. Lineage: Bacteria; Pseudomonadati; Pseudomonadota; Gammaproteobacteria; Enterobacterales; Enterobacteriaceae.